Phthorimaea operculella (potato tuberworm) is the source of this 72-nucleotide non-coding RNA. Lineage: Eukaryota; Metazoa; Arthropoda; Insecta; Lepidoptera; Gelechiidae. The record is from the annotation of a GenBank genome assembly.
ACAUCGAUAGCUCAGUGGCAGAGCGGUGGGGCGUUUACCCAUGCGGCCCGGGUUCGAUCCCCGGUCGAUGCA